RNAcentral lists this ribosomal RNA (176 nucleotides) under uncultured bacterium. Its description in RNAcentral is "partial 16S ribosomal RNA". It matches the Rfam family "Bacterial small subunit ribosomal RNA", at positions 1325 to 1500 of the family's 1533-position model. The record is from RNAcentral.
GCUGGAAUCGCUAGUAAUCGCGGAUCAGAAUGCCGCGGUGAAUACGUUCCCGGGUCUUGUACACACCGCCCGUCACACCAUGAGAGUUGGGAAUACCCGAAGCCUGUGAGCUAACUGUAAGGAGGCAGCAGUCGAAGGUAGAAUCAAUGAUUGGGGUGAAGUCGUAACAAGGUAAC